AUUGAACGCUGGCGGCAUGCCUUACACAUGCAAGUCGAACGGCAGCAUGAUCUAGCUUGCUAGAUUGAUGGCGAGUGGCGAACGGGUGAGUAACACAUCGGAACGUGCCCUGUAGUGGGGGAUAACUAGUCGAAAGAUUAGCUAAUACCGCAUACGACCUGAGGGUGAAAGUGGGGGACCGCAAGGCCUCAUGCUAUAGGAGCGGCCGAUGUCUGAUUAGCUAGUUGGGGAGGUAAAGGCUCACCAAGGCGACGAUCAGUAGCUGGUCUGAGAGGACAAUCAGCCACACUGGGACUGAGACACGGCCCAGACUCCUACGGGAGGCAGCAGUGGGGAAUUUUGGACAAUGGGCGAAAGCCUGAUCCAGCAAUGCCGCGUGUGUGGAGAAGGCCUUCGGGUUGUAAAGCACUUUUGUCCGGAAAGAAAUGGCUCUGGUUAAUACCUGGGGUCGAUGACGGUACCGGAAGAAUAAGGACCAGCUAACUACGUGCCAGCCGCCGCAGUAA
This 506-nucleotide ribosomal RNA is filed under the name uncultured bacterium. Its description in RNAcentral is "partial 16S ribosomal RNA". It matches the Rfam family "Bacterial small subunit ribosomal RNA", at positions 30 to 523 of the family's 1533-position model. The record is from RNAcentral.